UACGUAGGGUGCAAGCGUUAAUCGGAAUUACUGGGCGUAAAGCGUGCGCAGGCGGUUAUGUAAGACAGAGGUGAAAUCCCCGGGCUCAACCUGGGAACUGCCUUUGUGACUGCAUAGCUUGAGUGCGGCAGAGGGGGAUGGAAUUCCGCGUGUAGCAGUGAAAUGCGUAGAUAUGCGGAGGAACACCGAUGGCGAAGGCAAUCCCCUGGGCCUGCACUGACGCUCAUGCACGAAAGCGUGGGGAGCAAACAGGAUUAGAUACCCUGGUAGUCCACGCCCUAAACGAUGUCAACUGGUUGUUGGGAAGGUUCCUUCUCAGUAACGAAGCUAACGCGUGAAGUUGACCGCCUGGGGAGUACGGCCGCAAGGUUG
This 372-nucleotide ribosomal RNA is filed under the name uncultured prokaryote. Its description in RNAcentral is "bacterial SSU rRNA". It matches the Rfam family "Bacterial small subunit ribosomal RNA", at positions 524 to 896 of the family's 1533-position model. The record is from RNAcentral.